GUGAUAAAUUAAAAUAAAAUGUCAAAAAGUUUGUUAUACAAUUUUAAAAACAUUUAAAACAAAUAAAAAAACACUUUUGUUUAAAAAAAGUCAAGUUCUACAUCAAAGAACCUCAUCAAAUUCAAACUAAUUAAUAAAAUAAUGGUUAUUGACAAAUUAACAUGCUUACUUGUAUAGAUUAUUUAAGAAUCAUAACAAUUGGGUUAUAACAAAUAGCAAACAUAGGCACCUCUAAAUUUCAAGUUUGGCAUCAUAAAAAUAUUAAUGAAUAAUCUCCCCUGCUAGCAUUAUUUGUCAAUUUUAAAAACUUCAAAAAGCAAAAAAAACAAAAAACAUAACAUUAUUUACAUGAUUAACAUAAUUCGUAAAUUCACAAGAGUGCACACACUGAAAUGUCUCGCCUUCUUUACUUAUCAUUGAUAUUAUGUUGAUAGUCCUAAGUAUAAAGCUUUAUUAAAAACUGUCACAUAAACUUAACAUUAACCAAGAUAACUAAACAAAGAGCAAUGAACCAUGAAAAAUGAGGUCAAGGUCAGAUGAACCAUGCCAGGCAGACAUGUACAGCUAACAAUGCUUCCAUACAACAAAUAUAGUUGACCUAUUACUUAUAGUUUUAAAAAAUAGACCAAAACACAAGAACUUAACACUGAGCAAUGAACCGUGAAAAUGAGGUCGAGGUCAAAUAAAACCUGCGCGACUGACAUAUAGAUCAUAAAAUAUUUCCAUACACCAAAUAUAGUUGACCUAUGGCAUAUAGUAUUAGAUAAAAAGACCAAAACUUAAAAACUUAACUUUGACCACUCAACCAUGAAAAUGAGGUGAAGGUCAGAUGACAUCUGCUCGCUAGACAUGUACACCUUACAAUCAUUCCAUACAACAAAUAUAGUAGAUCUAUUGCAUAAAGUAUGAGAAAAACAGACCAAAACACAAAAACUUAACUAUAACCACUGAACCAUGAAAAUGAGGUCAAGGUCAGAUGACACCUGCCAGUUGGACAUGUACACCUUACAGUCCUUCCAUACACCAAAUAUACUAGCCCUAUUGCUUAUAGUAUCUGAGAUAUGGACUUGACCACCAAAACUUAACCUUGUUCACUGAUCCAUGAAAUGAGGUCAGGUCAAGUGAAAACCGUCUGACGGGCAUGAGGACCUUGCAAGGUACGCACAUACCAAAUAUAAUUAUUCUAUUACUUAUAAUAAGAGAGAAUUCAACAUUACAAAAACUCUGAUCUUUUUUUUCAAGUGGUCACUGAACCAUGAAAAUGAGGUCAAGGACAUUUGACAUGUGACUGACGGAAACUUCGUAACAUGAGGCAUCUAUAUACAAAGUAUGAAGCAUCCAGGUCUUCCACCUUCUAAAAUAUUAAGCUUUUAAAAAGUUAGCUAACGCCGCCGCCCGAUCACUAUCCCUAUGUCGAGCUUUCUGCAACAAAAGUUGCAGGCUCGACAAAAAAAACAUCCUGCUGCUCGAACAUUGAUUAAAAUUUCAUUCCAAAUGCUGUAUGCAAGAAUAAAAAUAAUAAGGUGUAAUGAAAUACUUCAAAUAUGUACAAUUGAAUAAAAUAGCACACAAAUAAACUUUUAUCAACAAAAUUAUGUAAUGUCAAGCAAAAAAUUAUCAAUAUUGAAUAUGUACUUGGACAAUUGAAGAAAAUAAUAAGUUUAUAUGCUUAUAAAUAUAUUUGGUGUAUUGACUGUCUCCUGAUUAGUUAAAAUUUUUUAGUUUUAUUUUCAAUUUUUUUUGUUUACAAAUUUUAUGAAGUCAACAUGUGCAUGAUGUGUGUACUUUGUUAUUAUUUAUAUAAAUAAAAUAAAAAAAUUCUUUGAGCCUUAUUUUUGAUAGAAAUUUAUUUAUAAUGAAUGGCAAUAACUUAUUUUGA
RNAcentral lists this long non-coding RNA (1879 nucleotides) under Mytilus galloprovincialis (Mediterranean mussel). Lineage: Eukaryota; Metazoa; Mollusca; Bivalvia; Mytilida; Mytilidae. The record is from RNAcentral.